GGUGCCCGUACCGCAAACCGACACAGGUAGGUAGGAAGAAGAUUCUAAGGCCAACGGGAGAAGGGUUGUUAAGGAACUCGGCAAAUUGACCCCGUAACUUCGGGAGAAGGGGUGCUCCAGAGAUGGAGCCGCAGAGAAUCGGCCCAAGCAACUGUUUACCAAAAACACAGGUUUGUGCUAAAUCGAAAGAUGACGUAUACGAGCUGACGCCUGCCCGGUGCUGGAAGGUUAAGAGGAGAUGUGCAAGCAUUGAAUCGAAGCCCCAGUGAACGGCGGCCGUAACUAUAACGGUCCUAAGGUAGCGAAAUUCCUUGUCAGGUAAGUUCUGACCCGCAUGAAAGGCGUAAUGAUUUGGGCACUGUCUCAACAGCCCGCCCGGCGAAAUUGUAGUACCGGUGAAGAUGCCGGUUACCCGCGACAAGACGGAAAGACCCCAUGGAGCUUUACUGUAGCCUAAUAUUGGGUUUCGAUGUUGCAUGCACAGGAUAGAUGGGACACUGGGAAGCAAGUGCUUUGGCGCUUGUGGAGUGGCCGUUGGGAUACCAUCCUUGCGAUAUUGGAAUUCUAACCUGCGCCUUUGAAUCAAGGCGGGGGACAUUGUUAGGUGGGCAGUUUGACUGGGGCGGUCGCCUCCUAAAGAGUAACGGAGGCGUUCAAAGGUUCGCUCAGCUUGAACGGAAAUCAAGCAAAAGAGUGCAAACGCAGAAGCGAGCCUAACUGCGAGACUGACGGGUCGAGCAGUAACGAAAGUUGGAGUUAGUGAUCCGGUGGUAUGUGAGUGGAAAUGCCAUCGCUCAACGGAUAAAAGUUACCCUGGGGAUAACAGGCUGAUCUCCCCCAAGAGUCCACAUCGACGGGGAGGUUUGGCACCUCGAUGUCGGCUCAUCGCAUCCUGGGGCUGUAUUCGGUCCCAAGGGUUUGGCUGUUCGCCAAUUAAAGCGGUACGCGAGCUGGGUUCAGAACGUCGUGAGACAGUUCGGUCCCUAUCUGUCGUGGGCGCAGGAUAUUUGAUGGGAGCUGUUCCUAGUACGAGAGGACCGGAGCGGACGUACCUCUGGCGCACCAGUUGUUCUGCCAAGAGCAUAGCUGGGCAACUAUGUACGGAUCGGAUAAACGCUGAAAGCAUCUAAGCGUGAAGCCGACCCAAAGAUAAGAUAUCCCAUUGUUUCAAACAAGUAAGACCCCUUGAAGACUACAAGGUUGAUAGGCACGAUGUGUAAGUGGAGUGAUCCAUUCAGCAAGCGUGUACUAAUAGGUCGAGGGCUUGACCAC
This 1272-nucleotide ribosomal RNA is filed under the name human gut metagenome. RNAcentral's name for it is "bacterial LSU rRNA". It matches the Rfam family "Bacterial large subunit ribosomal RNA", at positions 1637 to 2925 of the family's 2925-position model. The record is from RNAcentral.